This is a long non-coding RNA of Coregonus clupeaformis (lake whitefish), 1185 nucleotides long. RefSeq lists it as uncharacterized. The record is from RefSeq and is a predicted model, not a curated record. The transcript has 2 exons. Lineage: Eukaryota; Metazoa; Chordata; Actinopteri; Salmoniformes; Salmonidae.
ACACACACACACACACAAACCUCAGACAAACCUCACACAAACACACACACACACACACACACAAUCGAUGUUGCUAAAAUGAUAUGCACCUAAUGCAAAAAAAAAGAAGGCUUUAAAAUAUCAAAUUUAGUGUGCAUGCAUACCAAUCAUGUUCUGUUUAAUUUGAGUCUGCAAUUUUCUGGAAGUCAUUAUACUCUUUCUCUGUCUCUGCAAUUAUACCACUCUGCACAGCACUCCCAGUUACACUAAAGCAAGGUUGACCUAUAUGCUAACAAUGUACUACGUUUAGGGAGAAAAAUUCCAGACUGGCCUUCAAGCUGCUUCCCUUGGGGUUUCCACGGAUAAGCGGGGUCACAGCGGGCGUCUUAGCCUGGGUGAGAUGGGUGGUGGGUGGACAAGGGCAAGAAUGGAGGAAAGGAUCCUCUUUACAUUUAAACCUUAUUUCUCACACAUUUCUACUUGGUGCUAUUGCACAGUGUAAAAUAAACCCCUGCCAUUGGAAUAGGUCAUUUUAACGAAUACAUUGCAGGGAGAUUCUGUAGAAGGAAAUCUGUAUCGACUGAGCAGCUCCCACAGAGUUUGGUUAUGUACAAUCUGUAAAAGCCCCACUAUGGAUGUUUUUCGUCAAAACAGCCAGUAAGUAGAUAAGUUGUAUUCUUCAGAGAAAAUAAAACUGGAAGAGUGAGUGGGAGAGAGGAGGAAAAGAAGUGGUAGGCCUCACUCAGUUUAUUGCUUAUAUAGCAAACAAAGAAUCCUGGAAGCCUGCGCGCGAUCAAUCUUACUCGCCAAAAGGUCUGACAGCUCGGUGCCCUCAGAACACAUUUAAGGCUUCUAACUCUCCCCCGGAUCAAAUGCAGCCAGGAAGCGGCGAGCAACGCUGGCCAUUUAGAUUAUAACACGUUUCUGUUCGCUGUCACAUAUUUUCUGUCGCUUAAGGGAUGUUGUAAGACAUUUAAAAUAGAAGGAACAUUUUGCAGAAGGGCAAAUGCGCGUAAAUGAUACUGCAGAAGCUCCUCGUGACACUUUUAUUAUUAUGGAUGCGCCCAUGCGGAGGAGGCUCUGGAACAAGGCCACCGCGAGAUCUUCUGAUGUGCCCACGCGCUAAAGGAGACAAAACGAGAGGACUUUGUACAAUGUUUUCGGGAUUUAUUGUCACUAUCAAAUAAACAAUUAUGUUAUAAAUUA